GACGAACGCUGGCGGCGUGCUUAACACAUGCAAGUCGAACGGAAAGGCCCUGCUUGCAGGGUGCUCGAGUGGCGAACGGGUGAGUAACACGUGGGUGAUCUGCCCCUUACUUUGGGAUAAGCCUGGGAAACUGGGUCUAAUACUGGAUAGGACCAUGCUGUAGGUGGUGUGGUGGAAAGAUUAGUUUCGGUAAGGGAUGAGCUCGCGGCCUAUCAGCUUGUUGGUGGGGUAAUGGCCUACCAAGGCGUCGACGGGUAGCCGGCCUGAGAGGGUGGACGGCCAAAUUGGGACGGGGAUACGGCCCAGACCCCUAGGGGGGGAAGCAGGGGGGAAUUUUGCAAAAUGGGGGCAAGCCUGAUGCAGCGACGCCGGGUGGGGGGUGACGGCCUUGGGGUUGAAAACCCCUUCCAGCCAUGACAAAGCCCUUGGGGUGACGGUAGUGGUAGAAGAAGCACCGGCUAAAUACGU
This 468-nucleotide ribosomal RNA is filed under the name uncultured bacterium. Its description in RNAcentral is "partial 16S ribosomal RNA". It matches the Rfam family "Bacterial small subunit ribosomal RNA", at positions 28 to 506 of the family's 1533-position model. The record is from RNAcentral.